This 254-nucleotide ribosomal RNA is filed under the name uncultured bacterium. RNAcentral describes it as "partial 16S ribosomal RNA". It matches the Rfam family "Bacterial small subunit ribosomal RNA", at positions 524 to 776 of the family's 1533-position model. The record is from RNAcentral.
UACGUAGGGUGCGAGCGUUAAUCGGAAUUACUGGGCGUAAAGCGUGCGUAGGCGGUUCCCCAAGUCCGUUGUGAAAUCCCCGGGCUUAACCUGGGAAUGGCAGUGGAAACUAGGGGACUUGAAUCUGGCAGAGGGGGGUGGAAUUCCACGUGUAGCAGUGAAAUGCGUAGAGAUGUGGAGGAACACCGAUGGCGAAGGCAGCCCCCUGGGCUGAGAUUGACGCUGAGUGCACGAAAGCGUGGGGAGCAAACAGG